Molecule: long non-coding RNA, 365 nt
Organism: Pungitius pungitius (ninespine stickleback)
Lineage: Eukaryota; Metazoa; Chordata; Actinopteri; Perciformes; Gasterosteidae
Exons: 3
Source: RefSeq, a predicted model, not a curated record
CAGGGAUUCAAGGAAGCCAUGAAGAGGACGGCUGAAGAGGGGAGAGAGAACCUGUGCUUUGGGAUGUGGGUCCUUGUUGCCUGGAACAGGGAUUUUUGAAACCUACAAACAAGUGACAGAGCACAACAACUCCUUUGCAAGUGGUCUUCUUAGUGGUACAAGCAUACCUUCUUAGCGGUGACCUGACUUUUGGGAGCAGGACAUGGUGCCAUGGGAACAAGUUCAACAGGUGGCACGUCAGAAGAUCCAUAGCGGCCACAGUUCCCUCAACAUUGGACUGCACACGCCCCGCCACGCAUACACAGCAGCAUUUUCUGGUGUUAGGAAAAAGUGUUGAAGUUCAGAGUUGAAAUCACACUGCAAAA